Long non-coding RNA from Bubalus bubalis (water buffalo), 3026 nucleotides. RefSeq lists it as uncharacterized. Lineage: Eukaryota; Metazoa; Chordata; Mammalia; Artiodactyla; Bovidae. The record is from RefSeq and is a predicted model, not a curated record. The transcript has 3 exons.
AGUUGUGGCCGCUUAAGUCUGCCAAUCACCAGAGAGGACAGUGGUCAUGUAUUUAUAUUUAUAACCCAUGUUCAUCCCCAAAUGCUGGACAGUCACCAGGAAACGCCGUCAGCCACUUUUCCUGCAUGCGGCUUGGGACAUCCUUGGAGAAACCACUGCUUCUCACAGGACAGGACCAGGCGGGGAAUGAAGGCAGGAGUCAUUUUCCCCUGUGGCCCGGGUGGUGCUUGUGCCGGGAAUUUCGAUUAGGUGUUGCCAUCUGACCUGCGCAGAGCAAAUCUUACCGAUAGGAGAGGGACGCACCCGCCGCCGCCCCGCACCCGGUGAGAAGGAAGAGGCUUUGCUCCUUGAUCUGGACGCAGAUGCCAGGCCCCGCUUCACGGCGAGUGGAGACCCACACGUCCUCGAUGAAAACAGCCACAGCGGCUGCUCCCCCAUGAGUGCCUGGCCCGCCUGGCCCCGCCUGGCCCUGUCCCAAGGCUCUGCAUGUGUCCACUCUUCCCAUCCUCAUGGGUCCUCUGAUGGAUGAUAUCCAUUGGACGCUGUUGGAAACAGAGAAGGCGGGGCGGGAAGUCAAGGGGCUCCAGCCGCGAAGGUGCUGAGCUGGACUCCAGACACAGACAGCCCGUCUUCAGGUUAUUCUACUUCCUGGGACGUCUAUGCUGUGGUCAGCAGAGCUGAGGGGACCCUCGGGGCUGUGACUCAUCAGCCUGGCAUCCACCACUGUCCCCUCCUGGCCUGGCGAGCACCAGCCCUUCCUCUGGGGCCCAGCUGCACCAACCCUUCCUCCAGAUCAGCUUCCAGACCCCUGAGGGCGGGUCUGCCCCCCACCCCAACACACAUACAACGCGGCAGGUCGGCAGAGAAUUCACAGCAAAGAGAGAGUCCCAGACGAGCAGGCAGUUGGUCUAAUGUGAGAAGUCAGUCCUGGCAGAGGCCAAGCCCAUCGUCCUCCUUCCCCCAAUGCCACGGGCCUCCAGCGUCACCAGCGUGAGGAGGGACAGGCGUGUGGCGGAUGUGGCUGUGCUGCCAGGCACCAUCACGCAUCUGCAGUGCUGUGUCUCCCGGGACAUUAAGACCCCAGUUUCUUCGUCCUUUGUGCUGAGUUUUGGCCAGAGGAGUGCAGGGUGGAUAUUGUGUAACUCAGGGGUCAGCGGGGCACACCGGGUCCUCUAGGACUCAAUCAGAACUGGCUGAGCCUCCUGCCCACAUCCUGUGGGAAGGCUGGACCUCCCCAACAUUCCUGUAAGUGCUGGGGGAAUGACUUUCCCUCGGUCACUUCAGGUCCAGUUUCCUGUCCCCUGACCUCGAGAUGCCCUUCCCAGCUCACCUCAAGGGGUGGCCUAUGUCCCACACCUGGCAGCAACCUGUCCCCUGAUUCCCCAGCCUCCACCCUCAAGCUCUGGGGGCCUGCACUCAGGAGUUGGGGGCCUGGGCCGGGGCAUCUGCAGCAUAGCAGGGGGUUCAGGUGGGAGGCCAGGGCCCUCCCUACCUGCCCUGGGGACGGCUCAGCUGCAGACCUCCCCCUCUCAACUGACUGGACACCAUUGUUUGCCAAACCCGCAUCUCAAGUCCCCCUUGAACUUCCGACCUUCAUUUAGCAUCAGCUUGUCUCUCAGUGACUUGCACUCCUGCCCCAGCAGACCCUGAUUUAUCUUCGGUGAUCGAAACGCCCAUUCUCCCAGAGACGGAAGCCAGCAGAGGGGCCAUCUCUGCUUCUCUCCUCAGCAGCCCCCAUGUCUGGACAAGAGCCUAGACUGUGUAGCUGUUCUGUGUCAGCCACACAGUGUCAGGAUGGGCAGGAGGAAGAGAAGGGGCGAUCUACCUCUGAACGCACAACUGAGUACAAUUGUGCACACCUGUACACACCUGUACACACUUACUGUGUGUGUGUACAGAUGUGUACAAGUAUUUACAUGAGUUCACAAGUAUUCAAAAGUGCACGAUUGUGAACACGUGUGUACAUAUGUGUACAAGAAUGCACGUAUGUGUGUAGAAGUGUUCACAAGUCUGUACCUAUGUGUACAAUUGUGUACCACUGUGUGCAAGUGUAUACUUGUGUUCACAUUGUGUACAAGUGUGUACUUGUGUGCACGAGCUUGAUAUCAUGUGUGUACAUGUAUGCCUGGGUGUGCAUUUGUGCUUACGCAUGUGUGCAUGUCUAUGCAUGUGUGUGCAUAUGUACAUGCUGGAAAUCAAAGCUAAUAAGCCUCGGCUCCUGCCCACGGGCUUCACAGAAAGGGUAUGAUCCUGAAAUCCAUUCGCAUCUCUGGCUGGCGAGGCUGUCUUUCCAUUGGCACUGGGAGUGAAGGGAGAAAUAGCCAAGGAGCUCCUAGCCAAGAAGACUGCAGUCAGCAUGCUCCACCCAGAUGCCCACCGGGCCAUUUCAGUUGACACCUGAAGUGUCCGGGGCUCACUGGGAAGCAGGUGGACGAGUCAGGGCUGGGGGUCACGCAGGAGCUGGGCUGGAUUCACACAGCCUCGAGCUGCAGCCCUGGAGGCAAAGCCUGCGCACUGUCUUGGGCUGGGCCCUUCCCCAGGGCCCCGUCACACCCAGGCGCUGCACGUCCUUCGUGUCCUGCAGUCCAGGGGGAGGUGCGCGAACCUUACAGACCUGCAGGCUGUUCUGGACCCGGGGACACCUGCCCUCGCGCCCCAGGGCCCCCACUCUCUUUUGCCCUCACCCCACAGGCAGAGGCUUCCUGCCAAACCCAGGACACCUCGAUCUUAAAAAAGGGCUGAAUCUCAGCUGCUGCUUCCUCCUCCCGCCUCUCUGGGUCGUGUCCAUUCAGAGGAGAUGCCCCUCCAGUCUCCACUGAGCUGUGAGGAUCCCAAGUCACCUCCUGGGAGCGUCCGACCUCCAGGACACCGGCUGGGCUGAGCUCUGCUUCCUCUGCCUGGCAGUGGGGUUGACACUGUGAGGAAUUUUCUGGUUACUUUGUGGAUACAGUCAUUUGGCUCCAGACAAAACCGAGCAUCCAUCUGCAUCUGAUUUCAGUCAGUCGUGAGCUUGUUGUCUUUUUUCU